GUGCCAGCCGCCGCGGUAAUACCGGCAGUCCAAGUGAUGGCCGAUAUUAUUGGGCCUAAAGCGUCCGUAGCCUGCUGUGUAAGUCCAUUGGGAAAUCGACGCGCUCAACGCGUCGGCGUCCGGUGGAAACUGCACAGCUUGGGACCGGAAGGCUCGAAGGGUACGUUCGGGGUAGGAGUGAAAUCCUAUAAUCCCGCACGGACCACCGAUGACGAAAGCACUUCGAGAAAACGGAUCCGACAGUGAGGGACGAAAGCCAGGGUCUCCAACCGGAUUAGAAACCCCAGUAGUCC
Molecule: ribosomal RNA, 293 nt
Filed under: uncultured bacterium
Lineage: Bacteria
Description: partial 16S ribosomal RNA
Rfam family: Archaeal small subunit ribosomal RNA
Source: RNAcentral